GUCACUUCUCUGCCGUUUGGCUAAGAUCAAGUGUAGUAUCUGUUCUUAUUAGUUUACCGUUGGGGAGCAUGCAACCCACUGAGUGAACAGAGAAUCACUUGAUCAUUACCAUGGGCCAUGAGGCUUUGCUUUAAAGCCCAAGUUUUUUGCGCCCCAGCCUUGCACACCUGGGGUGCCUUACCUUA
This is a non-coding RNA of Xenopus laevis (African clawed frog), 185 nucleotides long. The record is from Rfam. NCBI's taxonomy places the organism in Eukaryota, Metazoa, Chordata, Amphibia, Anura, Pipidae.